GUCGAGAAUCUUUCACAAUGGGGGCAACCCUGAUGGAGCGACGCCGCGUGGAGGAUAAGGUCUUCGGAUUGUAAACUCCUGUCAUGCGUGAACAAGGUUGCUUGGUUAAUACCUGGGCAAAUUGAUGGUAACGCAAGAGGAAGAGACGGCUAACUCUGUGCCAGCAGCCGCGGUAAUACAGAGGUCUCAAGCGUUGUUCGGAAUCACUGGGCGUAAAGGGUGCGUAGGUGGCGUGGUAAGUCAGAUGUGAAAGCCCGGGGCUCAACCUCGGAACUGCAUCCGAUACUGCCAUGCUAGAGUACUGGAGAGGUGACUAGAAUUCUCGGUGUAGCAGUGAAAUGCGUAGAUAUCGAGAGGAAUACCAAAGGCGUAGGCAGGUCACUGGACAGUUACUGACACUGAGGUGCGAAAGCGUGGGAAGCAAACAGGAUUAGAAACCCUGGUAGUCC
This 449-nucleotide ribosomal RNA is filed under the name uncultured bacterium. RNAcentral's name for it is "partial 16S ribosomal RNA". It matches the Rfam family "Bacterial small subunit ribosomal RNA", at positions 354 to 796 of the family's 1533-position model. The record is from RNAcentral.